This is a long non-coding RNA of Pyrus x bretschneideri (Chinese white pear), 999 nucleotides long. RefSeq lists it as uncharacterized. Lineage: Eukaryota; Viridiplantae; Streptophyta; Magnoliopsida; Rosales; Rosaceae. The transcript has 4 exons. The record is from RefSeq and is a predicted model, not a curated record.
AGUUGUAUAGCUUCAGAUACAUCCAAAAGGUGUUUGAAAAGGUAUGGAAAAGCUUAUAUAACCGGAGUUCUUAGUUCCAUAAAAAAUCAUCUUGUCUUCCUCAUUGUCUUUUGUACAAAAUUUUCAGAGAGUAAACACACAAAGCAAUUCGCUAGAGUUCUAUAAUCCAGUGUGGGUUGUAGAAUUAGGUAGUUGUAUCUUGGUUGAGCAGACGUUGUAGAACCAUAAGCACAAAAGUGGGACGGAAAUAUUGUUCGAAUGACAUAGCUUUUGCGCUAGCCUCUACCUUCAAUUCAUUCAAGUUAGUAUCAUUUUAAUUUUUUGUAAUUAUUGUGUAAUUGCAUUCUGUAUUUUUGAAUAAUAAAGUAUAAGUAUUUCGGUCCUGUAUUUCUGUUAUUUUGUUGUUUCUAAAUUGUUCUCCAACACAUGGUAUGUAACAUUCUAACUACUGGAAAUUUACAGUCGCUUGAGUGUCUAUUUCUGGAAACACUCUAAUAGCAACGUCAUACUUCUCGGCCAUUGUUUAGCAUCGACAACUUCUGCCAUUUUUUGUAACUCAAGACCACAUUAGAUUACUAAGUCCAAUAUUUUUUAAUCUGUGCAGUCAUUGUUGUAUCUUCCAUUUGCCAUUGCAAAUGCACCGAUAGCUAGACUGAACGACGGAGUUCCUUUGGUCGACGAGAGCUUGGUUCUUCUUGGUUACUGUGCAUUUACAGGAUAAUUUAGAAGGAAGCUUGAAUUAUGCUGGUGUUAACUUUAGGUUUUCGUUUCAGACGCGCUCGCAAAGUCGAGAAUGGUGCAGCUCGAGCGAGGUUUCUUGUCGAUAUAAGUUUGUAUAAGAUGAUGCAGCUCUGAAUACAAAAUGCAUACAGUGGAUAUCGACAUUUGCCUGUUUUCGAUACAAAAUGUAGCUUUAUGCAUACAUGACAGAAAUGUAGUCAUGGACAAUGAUGAAUAAUGUGAUGAUACACGAUGCUGAAUCUUUGCCAUGGUCUCACU